Long non-coding RNA from Apis florea (little honeybee), 1385 nucleotides. Lineage: Eukaryota; Metazoa; Arthropoda; Insecta; Hymenoptera; Apidae. The record is from RefSeq and is a predicted model, not a curated record.
AAAAUAUUCACAUCAGGAAAAAACAUUAUUGAAAUAAUAAUUCCGUGGCGUGAAAGAUUCGUAUUCAAGCAAUACGUACUAAAUGAAGGCCACAAAUACAGUAUAAAAUUAUUCGAAUUCUUUUGAAUCAUAUACAUGAUCGAUGAGAAUUUAUUAUGGAAAAUCAGUUAAUGGAAUAAUAUAUGCUUUUCAAGAUCGAACACUGUAUAUCGAUAAUUUCUAUGAAUUAGCUAUUUCAUGUCUAAAACAGGAGAAUCGCAUAGUUGGAACAGUAAGGAACAAAAAAAGUUCAUCCCGAAAGAGUAGGUUAAAAAAGGAGAGAUGAUAUCUAAAGAAGAUGAAAAUAGUAUCCUUGUAUCCAAGUGAAGAGUUUCUAAAGACGUGAGAAUUUUGUCAACAUACUCCAUCAUGAUACCAAGUACAAAAAAUAUAAACAUCAAUGCAGAUUAACCGACAAUCAUGCGGAAAAUUAAAAUCUAUAACAAUUCUUGAUUAUAAUACAGUGUUAAAGAUAAAUCCAAGAUUCAUGUGGUCAAAUAGACUGAAUUCUAUUUUCAACAGCUUGAGUAUUUUUAAUAGUCUAACAAUAUUUUACAAGUAGGUAUCCUUCCAUAUUCUUAAUCAAAAUACAGAUAUACAACAAUGGCUGCUUAAUAAGUCACGCUUGCGCACCUGCUGUCUUGCGAUGGAUCACCAUGAAAGCAGUCGCAAGUAAGGUGCGACUACGACGCCUAUUCUUCAAAAUCGCCCUUCAACGCGAAUAUUCGUUCCUUUAACCUUCUCUUAGUUUGAAUUUUCAUGAAAAAUAAUGAUUGGAGGAAAAACCAAGAUCCGCCACAGUCUUCAGAUCAGAUCAGUUAGAGUCAAUAAAAUCAAUCGUCAAUAAUUAAACUAAACCAUCAAAAUUCAAGCUCAUAAUAUAAACGAUUAUACAGUCUUACAACAAAUGGAAAACUGCAUCUUGUAUCAAAUGACUAUUGAAGGCAAAAUUAUAACUCGAUUGGAAUUUUUAAAUGAUACAAUUCAAUCGAUAACGAAAGAAUGGAUAGAAGGAGAACCAACAAGAUUGUUGGGUGAAAUGCAACAGGUAUAAGAAAACUUCCUGGAAAAAGUUUAUAUUUAUGAAAAGAUCAGGUACAAUUUGUAAUUUCUGUAACAAAGGAUUACACGGUAUAUGGAUUACUAACCAUCGAUGCUGAAUAAAUUAUUUAUGUGAAUAACAAUAAUGAUGUUGUACUGGCUACACGAAUUACUUGUUUUAUAGCAAGUAAUCUUCCUAACGUUUGCUGCACAUCAUGGGAUUGUCAUUUAGUUUUGUAUUUCAUUAUUAAAAAUACAUAUAAUUAAUAUGUAUUAAUAUUACAUAUAAUUAAAAUGUAUUUAUG